GACGGUAUAGUUUAAGUUAAGAUGUGUGCUCUGCGAGCAUUCGGUAGAGAUUCUUGCCGUUG
Molecule: transfer RNA, 62 nt
Filed under: Fascioloides magna
Lineage: Eukaryota; Metazoa; Platyhelminthes; Trematoda; Plagiorchiida; Fasciolidae
Description: tRNA-Ala
Source: RNAcentral